GACGAACGCUGGCGGCGUGCUUAACACAUGCAAGUCGAACGGAAAGGCCCUGCUUUUGUGGGGUGCUCGAGUGGCGAACGGGUGAGUAACACGUGAGUAACCUGCCCUUGACUUUGGGAUAACUUCAGGAAACUGGGGCUAAUACCGGAUAGGAGCUCCUGCUGCAUGGUGGGGGUUGGAAAGUUUCGGCGGUUGGGGAUGGACUCGCGGCUUAUCAGCUUGUUGGUGGGGUAGUGGCUUACCAAGGCUUUGACGGGUAGCCGGCCUGAGAGGGUGACCGGCCACAUUGGGACUGAGAUACGGCCCAGAAUCCUACGGGAGGCAGCAGUGGGGAAUAUUGCACAGUGAGCGGACGCCUGAUGCAGCAACGCCGCGUGCGGGAUGACGGCCUUCGGGUUGUAAACCGCUUUGGACUGUGACGAAGCGUGAGUGACGGUAAUGGGUAAAGAAGCACCGGCUAACUACGUG
RNAcentral lists this ribosomal RNA (468 nucleotides) under uncultured bacterium. Its description in RNAcentral is "partial 16S ribosomal RNA". It matches the Rfam family "Bacterial small subunit ribosomal RNA", at positions 28 to 507 of the family's 1533-position model. The record is from RNAcentral.